UGGAAACUAACUGGUAUUAGGAUACUAGCUAGGGCUAUAAAUACCGUACUGGUUUCAAAAAGGCAAACCAAAAGCAUAACCAGAAAGAAAGUAAAAGCUAGCUAGCAUCAAUAUGUCUUCUAAGAAUCCCGACGUCACUAAAGCAAUUUGGCCUAGCAAUGGUCCUCCGCCACAGCCGCCUUCUCAGAAAGGUUCCUCGUUUCCAAAUCUUCAGGGGUGUCUCGGAAAAGGUGGGAAAAAGAAAGGGAACAAGUGAAGAAUUAUGCAGCAGGUUCUAAAUAUAAUGUUUAUAUAUUGUUGGGCAAAUAAUGGGGCAUUUGCAAAUAUGCUUGCUCGUUUUGCAGAUGUAUAAAUGCAGAAGUUGUUUUCAUUCAAAUUUCCUUCAUUAAUUCAGUUACCAUUAUUGUAUUGUGAAACACAGUAUAGAUCCCAGCUAUGUGUAAAAGAAACACAGUAUAUGUAUUAUUUGAUUCUGUUCCAC
Molecule: long non-coding RNA, 481 nt
Filed under: Prunus persica (peach)
Lineage: Eukaryota; Viridiplantae; Streptophyta; Magnoliopsida; Rosales; Rosaceae
Description: long non-coding RNA (PPER_LNC005854)
Source: RNAcentral